This is a long non-coding RNA of Ficedula albicollis (Collared flycatcher), 1876 nucleotides long. Lineage: Eukaryota; Metazoa; Chordata; Aves; Passeriformes; Muscicapidae. The record is from Ensembl.
AAGAAUAUUAUGUUUUCUCCUGUUGUUGAAGAAAUGACAAAUUGAUUUCGAGGAAUGCUGUUGGUUUUGGCUCAGUUUCAGAGAGAACUUCCAAAGGGAAGGAAAUCCUUCAAGGAGAAGUGGAAGAGGAUGGAAGCUGGGUCCUUCUUCCCAUUUCCACAUCCAGAGGUGUCCUUGCUCCGGGAUCUGCAGGGGACAAACCCCAGGGAGGGGGAGAGCUGAGCUCCACCUGCACGACAGGAUCCUUGCUGAAGUUGGUAAAUCAGGCAGCCAUACCUUCUUCCCCAGCCCAGAAUCCAGGAGAAUUGACAUUGAACAUCGUGCCUGGCAUUAAAGGGACACUAACUGUGCUCCUGGAGGUCUCACCUGGGAACAGAAAGUUUAAAUUGGCUGGUAAGUAGUGAUUCAUUCUCAAAAAAAAAAAAACAAACCAUACUUUUCUUAAUUCAACCCUUGGAAUUUUUGGUUAAUAUCUGACUCUCUGGUCUGAUCCAUCUCCAAUUCAUCCUUUCUUGUCAAGCUAGUUUUAAUAAUUGUAACACCCUCAGCUGUUUUGUUUAGGUAAUAGAGAACAAUUCAGCCUGAAGAAAAUUAAUUUUCCUGUUUCACGUGGUUUUGGGUUCUUUUUCUUUUUCUUUUUUUUUUUUUUUUUGGGGGGGGGGGGGGGGGGGGGGUUUUUUUUCUUUUUCUUUUUUUUUUUUUUUUUUCUUGUAGUUUUCUAAUGAAUUCUAGAAAAUAGCAGUGAAAAUAGGGAAGUCUGAAGUAAACAUUGAUUUUUACAGUGCAAUAAUUUAUGGUACCAACUUAAUAAGCGGUGUGACAGCAGCAGCUCACCCCCCAUUUAUCAUGCAUUGAUAGUUUGAUUCCAGAACUUUUAACACCACUGCUCGCUGUGACAUAAUAAAGGACCUGCCAACAUUCCCAUUAGAACCACGAGAUUUUAGGAGUUCUGCUUCAGCUAUAAAUAUCAGGAUUUGGAAUCUAUGAAUUAUUUUGCAGAGUAACAACCUCGGAAUGACUUGUCCCAGCAACUGGGAAGAAAUAAGAGUUUUUUGAACUUCAGGGGGACAUCUCCCUGUGUUCAGAAGAAGAGGCUCGGGGUUGCUCAGGCUGUGUCCACCAUCACAAGUUUCCCAGCUCAGAGCUCAGAUAGUUCAGAAGAAGAGGCUCGGGGAUGCUCAGGCUGUGUCCACCAUCACAAGUUUCCCAGCUCAGAGCUCAGAUAAAUCACUUUAAUUCCACAGGCAGCAAGGAGGAGGCAGCAGUGUCCAUCAGCAGGUUCUGAUGAGAGCUGGCUGGAGGGGAGCUGGCUCCACCCGUGCUCCCUUCCAUCCCAUCUGGAAAAUCCAGACGUUCCUCUCACCUUCCAGGUUUGUUGGUUCAGGAGCUUCUAAAAAAAAUAGAUGCAAAGACAACAGAACUCGUGGGUAGUGGGAUAACAAUGGAAAAUAAGUGAACUGGUGAGCUCAAUUCUAUUUAUACCCCCAUGUCUAAAGAGCUGUAAGAAAAAGGGUGUGUGGUUAUGUUUGUCCUAGCUUAGGUUGCAGGGAUUUAAUGUACAUUCUAUAAGUCAUUAAAUAAUUUUGUUGGGGCAUCUGAUCUCCAUGUUGAUACUUUAUUACCAGAGAUCACUUGGAGACAGGAAAGGGACUUAUGGAAUUGGAAAACAAUUUACAGUUUGUUGGGUUUUUUUUUCAGUAACUAGCUCAUUUUAAACCCCAUUUUUAGCAAGAAAUAAUGACUUGCUUUAUUUAGAGACUAUUUAAAAUGCUCUCGAGGUAUCUACUGAAUAUCUUGACAUCACAGAUAAAUCAGGAGCAGACUCAAAAUUAGCCCUGCACUGCUCUAUAUUACAAUGUGUUCUAUAUUACAGUUC